AACGAACGCUGGCGGCAUGCCUAACACAUGCAAGUCGAACGAAGGCUUCGGCCUUAGUGGCGCACGGGUGCGUAACGCGUGGGAACCUGCCCUCGGUUCGGAAUAACAGUUAGAAAUGACUGCUAAUACCGGAUGAUGACUUCGGUCCAAAGAUUUAUCGCCGAGGGAUGGGCCCGCGUAGGAUUAGCUAGUUGGUGGGGUAAAGGCCUACCAAGGCGACGAUCCUUAGCUGGUCUGAGAGGAUGAUCAGCCACACUGGGACUGAGACACGGCCCAGACUCCUACGGGAGGCAGCAGUGGGGAAUAUUGGACAAGUGGCGAAAGCCUGAUCCAGCAAUG
RNAcentral lists this ribosomal RNA (339 nucleotides) under uncultured bacterium. Its description in RNAcentral is "bacterial SSU rRNA". It matches the Rfam family "Bacterial small subunit ribosomal RNA", at positions 29 to 396 of the family's 1533-position model. The record is from RNAcentral.